AAAUUGCAGCCCGACCUGAGUGGAGCUCUUUUUGCAAAUUUUCGCAUCGGGAAAGCGGUAGGAAAUUUGCAAAAAAGCGGGAACGGAGGGCGGAAAUGUCU
RNAcentral lists this unclassified non-coding RNA (101 nucleotides) under Kaistella treverensis. RNAcentral's name for it is "Chryseobacterium treverense Flavo-1 RNA". Lineage: Bacteria; Pseudomonadati; Bacteroidota; Flavobacteriia; Flavobacteriales; Weeksellaceae. The record is from RNAcentral.